Molecule: ribosomal RNA, 497 nt
Filed under: uncultured bacterium
Lineage: Bacteria
Description: partial 16S ribosomal RNA
Rfam family: Bacterial small subunit ribosomal RNA
Source: RNAcentral
GAUGAACGCUGGCGGCGUGCCUAAUACAUGCAAGUCGAGCGAACGGACGAGAAGCUUGCUUCUCUGAUGUUAGCGGCGGACGGGUGAGUAACACGUGGAUAACCUACCUAUAAGACUGGGAUAACUUCGGGAAACCGGAGCUAAUACCGGAUAAUAUUUUGAACCGCAUGGUUCAAAAGUGAAAGACGGUCUUGCUUUCACUAAUAGAUGGAUCCGCGCUGCAUUAGCUAGUUGGUAAGGUAACGGCUUACCAAGGCAACGAUGCAUAGCCGACCUGAGAGGGUGAUCGGCCACACUGGAACUGAGACACGGUCCAGACUCCUACGGGAGGCAGCAGUAGGGAAUCUUCCGCAAUGGGCGAAGGCCUGACGGAGCAACGCCGCGUGAGUGAUGAAGGUCUUCGGAUCGUAAAACUCUGUUAUUAGGGAAGAACAUAUGUGUAAGUAACUGUGCACAUCUUGACGGUACCUAAUCAGAAAGCCACGGCUAACUACGUG